Podarcis raffonei (Aeolian wall lizard) is the source of this 260-nucleotide long non-coding RNA. RefSeq lists it as uncharacterized. The record is from RefSeq and is a predicted model, not a curated record. NCBI's taxonomy places the organism in Eukaryota, Metazoa, Chordata, Lepidosauria, Squamata, Lacertidae. The transcript is spliced from 2 exons.
UGGACGGAAGGCGGGGAGGGGCUGCCUUACCUCAGCCGCUUGCCGUCCGACGCCCGGCCUAGGGUUCCGUCCGAGCGGGUGGAGAAGGAGGAGGAGGAGGAGGAGGGUCCGGCCAUCAGUUCCCACCCUCCCUCUUCAAAGGUUUAGGGUAAGUAGCAAAGGGGGGGGGGGAAUCCACGUGAAGCAAAACAAAUGCUCGAUUAAAAUGUGGGGAAUGAGAAAAAUUAAAACCUGCACAUCUUGUGUAACUUAAACACCAA